Long non-coding RNA from Gossypium raimondii (Peruvian cotton), 516 nucleotides. RefSeq lists it as uncharacterized. The transcript has 2 exons. Lineage: Eukaryota; Viridiplantae; Streptophyta; Magnoliopsida; Malvales; Malvaceae. The record is from RefSeq and is a predicted model, not a curated record.
AACAGCCCUAAUCCCCCUAACAGAUUUCAAAAAAAACACUAAGCCCCUCUUUUCUGCCGCCGCAAACACCGAUCUGAGGCCUCCCUUGAUCCCGAUUCGAGCAACAAACAGUAGGUAUUGUUGGCGCAUGGAGCGGUGCACGCUGGGGAGGGUCGUGGUGCGAGAUUCGCGGCGGUGUGCGAGGGUGGUACUGGAGACUGCUGGGGCUUGCGGCGUUGGGGUCAAAGCUGCUAGGGUUUUCGGUAGAAAAUUUGUUUAGUGGGCUGUUGGGGUUUGGGCCUAGGUUUAGUUUAUUGGGUUGUUUUACUAUUUGUAAGGCCUGGACCAUUUGGGCCGAUUACAGAGUUGAUUUCGAAUAGACUCUUGAUAUCAACUUAAUAAAUCAUUUUAUAUAAGUAUAGAUAGAUAUAGAAACAAUGUGAGUGAAAAGUUUGUGUGAUAAUAUUCAAAUGUAAAAAAAAAAAAAAAAAAAUCAAAAUAAAGCUUUGGUUAAAAUAAUAAAGUUAAGAUUUUAUA